Molecule: ribosomal RNA, 182 nt
Filed under: Candidatus Bathyarchaeota archaeon
Lineage: Archaea; Thermoproteati; Candidatus Bathyarchaeota
Description: partial 16S ribosomal RNA
Rfam family: Archaeal small subunit ribosomal RNA
Source: RNAcentral
UGGUAGGGAUGAUUAUUGGGCUUAAAGCGUCCGUAGCCGGCUCAACAAGUCCCCUGUUAAAUCCAACGACCCAAUCGCUGGACUGCAGGGGAUACUGCUGGGCUAGGGGACGGGAGAGGCCGACGGUAUUUCCGGGGGAGGGGUGAAAUCCUAUAAUCCCGGGAGGACCACCAGUGGCGAAG